Molecule: ribosomal RNA, 301 nt
Filed under: uncultured bacterium
Lineage: Bacteria
Description: partial 16S ribosomal RNA
Rfam family: Bacterial small subunit ribosomal RNA
Source: RNAcentral
CAGUCGCCACGGUAAUACGAAGGGUGCAAGCGUUAAUCGGAAUUACUGGGCGUAAAGCGUGCGUAGGCGGUGAGUUAAGUCUGCUGUGAAAUCCCCGGGCUCAACCUGGGAAUGGCAGCGGAUACUGGCAAGCUAGAGUGUGUCAGAGGAUGGUGGAAUUCCCGGUGUAGCGGUGAAAUGCGUAGAGAUCGGGAGGAACAUCAGUGGCGAAGGCGGCCAUCUGGGACAACACUGACGCUGAGGCACGAAAGCGUGGGGAGCAAACAGGAUUAGAUACCCCAGUAGUCCCUGUCUCUUAUAA